Lepisosteus oculatus (spotted gar) is the source of this 1131-nucleotide non-coding RNA. The record is from RefSeq and is a predicted model, not a curated record. NCBI's taxonomy places the organism in Eukaryota, Metazoa, Chordata, Actinopteri, Semionotiformes, Lepisosteidae.
AAGGCAGGAUGAGCAGUGGAGGGGAGAGCGAUGGGAAAAGAGGCAGCAGGAGAAGAAGGAACACAAGGAGGUGGACAGAGAAAGAGAUCUCAGUUAAUCAGACACGCAGCAGUGAUUCAGAUUUACACAUUUCGGUAGCGGCAUCAAGAAUGCUGUGUUGAUUGCACAAGACUGAAGAAGGACCCUGGACUGCACCAGCAAUCAAGAAUUGAAAUCUUUUGGAUGGACAUGAGGUGUGUGUCCUCCUGGGGAGGGUCUCGGCAACCUGCACCUGUCCCAGAAACAGAGAGCCGAUGGUGGGAGGACAGGAUGAAUAAGACUCCAGUCCCUCUGAGCAGUAAACCCACGAGUCACAGAGAGAACCAGCACCCACCACAUAGAAGGUACCCCAGUACAAAAUCGAACCCAGGACACAGGAGCUAGGAGCCAGCAGAUGUAGCUGCCACAUUGCAGUGGGUCUUUAAUUGAAUAACUGCUGUACCUGCAACUUCAUUGUCCACCUUGUCCUGCACCACCCACUAAAAACCACAAGGUGGAGCAAGAAGAGCUGUUUCUGGCUAGAGCAUGUAUUGUACUUGGUGAUCCCUGGAGCAACUCCUGGACUGAUUGGUGUGAUUAGCAAAGAAAGUACAACACAGCAACUACUGUAUCUCCACAGCCGGUGUUGACAUCCGGUCCCCACCAAAAGGGCUGAAGACAUGCUGGUACGGCUAAUUGACUUCUGUAAACGGGCCCUGGUGUGAGUGUUUCUGUCCUGCGAUUGACUGGCUUGUUGUCCCACGUUCCAGUCCAGCGUUUGCACGACUGAGUGAGUGGGAUGGCAACUUCCAUCGUCUUCUCUGGAGGGACUUGGAUCUUACGGUAAAUGUCAGGUGCUCAGUCCUGCCGGUUAUAGGUCUGUUCACUCCCCAGUGCCCCGCUGAACCCCACUCGCGCUGGGAUUCCUGCCCUUUACUUGCAUGUUGAAGGUGAGCUGCUUGCUUUUAUCGGCGGACCACGGUCAGGUCUUUGUUAAGGGCAGAUCUCGCCUUGUGCCCAGCGCUUCCUGGCCCGGGACAGGCUCUGGGUCAGCCUGGGUCAACCAUAAUCGGAUAAGCGGUUAUUGAAAGUAAUUCCAGUGGGGAGCUGCGU